GCUUGAAUGAUGACUUGAUAAUCUUUUGUCGGAUACCCCUUCACUCUUCAAUGAGUGAACUCUUCAUUCUGACAAGC
Small nucleolar RNA from Cynoglossus semilaevis (tongue sole), 77 nucleotides. Ensembl annotates it as small nucleolar RNA SNORD101. The record is from Ensembl. Lineage: Eukaryota; Metazoa; Chordata; Actinopteri; Pleuronectiformes; Cynoglossidae.